AGCCGGGACCGAGUGAUCCGGCCGACGACCGCGGUAAAGAUAUCGCGCCGUAGACAGAGACCACCCAAGUUGGGUUUCAUAUUUUGUAGUUGCAUACCCAUAUAUCAUCUUUUGUAUUUGAUGAUUAGAGAAGUUAAAGAAAUAAAUGUAAGUAUUCUAUUUUGAGGAAAUGUGAUGUGAAAAGAAAUGAUGAAAAGCAUGUAUUAUGAUAAAAGAAUUGUAAAUGUGAAAGUUGUAUGCUUGUAAUUGGUUAAAAGUUAAUCAUUCUACUUGUAUGGUUGUAUAGUUUAGUAUUCUUUUACUUUGGCUAUUGCUUACCCUCGUGUAAGCCAUUAUGUAUGUUUCCGCUUGUGUAUUCACUUUGUUUGAAUUGUACAUGUGUUGAGCCUUGGGCGGACAGGGGAGACUCUGUCCGUUCGGCGUCUGUUCGACGUGCCCGGACCGGCCAAAGGGAUCGGUCCUGGGGCGUGACAGCGAUAAUGACCGAUUUCGCUGACAAAAGUGUCGAAAAGCCUCAUUUCAGCUCCGAUUGAUUUCUGGAUUUAGCACGAUCCGGUCCGGGGGUCCAACAUACAUAAUUAACGCUGCCCAAGGUAGCGAGCAACUCGAAUUACCGAAAAAGCCCAUAAUUUUCAUCUAUUUUAUAGUAUUCAAUAAGAAAGUAGAGUUUUGACUCGUUGUCUAGACUUGCAUGGUCGGAAAGCUGAACCGUUACAUACACUAGUAGGCAGCGAUGCUCUGAACAUGUCACGCCCCGCGACCGCUACCAAUUUGGUCCGGCCCAGGCGCGUCGAACAGACGCCGAACGGACAGGACCUCCCCUGUCCGUCCAAGGCUAACCAACAGAUCGUGCAUAAGAAUUUACCCAAGAAUCAAUUCAUAAAUACACGAUCACUAAGCACCACUAGUGCUAUAAACAAGAGCAAGAUACAAGUAUAGAAACAUAUACAAGUACAUCAAGAGAGAAAAGACUAUCUAUUACAUUCAUUUGAUUUACUGCAUUUAGAUACAUCUUUUACAUUCUUCCAAAAUAUAAAUACAAGCAAUCAACCCUCACCCUAUACAACAUCUACUCUCAAAUACAAAAGGGGUGACGGCUAAUGCAAGAAAAGGAGGUAGCUAAUGCGACUAGAACGCCGGGCCCUUACCGCGAUCCUCACGCUCACCGGGGACACCCGAACUGGAACCUGUGGUAAAAUGGGGGUGAGAACUAACUUCCUUAGUUCCCAGUGGGUUCGGCCGCCGACUCCGCCGAUCUCCCCACUAGGUCCAAGCGGGCAUAAGUAGACAAUCGAUAGAUAGGUAGAUAGAUAAGGAAAGCUGUAAAUGGCGGAAAUGAAGCUACGCUACCAUGCCCAAUCAUAAGUAUAUGAAUGCAUGUCCAAUGAAAUAGGUAAGCAACUAAUCUGUUAUCAUGUCCAAGGGUGAAGCUAUUCACUCGUUCAUUAACCUCAUUUACUUGUUCAUUAAUCUCAUGGCUUACCCGAAGGCUCGCCUACAGCUCACUAGCCAUCUCGACACGUAGGGAGAAUCAACUCACACUACGGACCCGAGACCGUCUGGCGGGGCCAUAUAGGCAAUCCCUGGCGUGACCAACAUCCGGAGCGCACUACUUGUGUGGGGCUUCCAUCACAAGAUUUAACAGACCGUGAGCAUGAUCCAAUCCUCUAAGCUCGAGGAUACCCUGUCCUCUAGAGUCACAAUCAUCAUAUAGUCCAUAGGUGUCGCAUACACUAUUAACUAGAUUGUCCGUUUGUCCGCUAUCGACUAGAUGCCACUCGUUCAUAGUUUACUAUUAACUAGAUGCCACUCGUUCAUAGUUCAUCAUUUUCUCUACAUCAUAGGAUUCACAAUCUCGACCCAAUCCUUAUCAAUCCAAUAUAUCAAUUAUCCGAUGUACGCUACGAUACCAUGAAGGAAAAACAUAAGGAAAGGCAAUGCAUACUAAUCCUAUAAUGCAAUAAUACAAGAUGCAAGAUCAAAUAUACUAAGACAUAGGAGGGAGCCCGAUUGCUUCGGGAUGGACACCACCCACCUCUUGGCGAUGCCGUGAUAGUAGAAAACUCGACGUUGGGGUUCUUGUACGCCGCUUCAACUCCUCGGGGCGAAGCGAGCCCUCGAGUACCCGAUUCGGCGAUUUCUCCGCACCCGCUCGUCGGAUCGAGAAACCGACUUCGCCGACGCGUUCCGGGACCUAGCAAUUAGGUUUGCGACCUAUUAGAUUAGAUCAAAACCCUAGAUUUACCAAAAACCCAAUUCCGUGCCCUAGGAUGGCAACGGGGAAGAAAUCCGUGGUGCGAGCUUCAAUUGCGAGCUCGAACCUUCUCCCUAGUUCCAUUAGGUCCCAUUCAAACCAUAAAAACCCCAAAACCCUAGAAACACCAUUAAAGGGUUUAGAGCUUACCCCUACACAAGGUUCCUUCAAGCUUGAGGGAGAGGGAGAGAAGAAGAUAUCUUCUUCUUCUUCUUCUUCUUAGUCUUCUCUUUCUCUUUCUUCUUCUUUCUCUUCUUCUUCUCCUUCCUCUUCUUCUUCUCCUUCUUCUCUUUCUUUUCUUUUCUUUCUUAGAGAGAGAGAGAAAAGAGGGUAAGAGAGAGAGAGAAAGCAGCUGAGAGUGAGAGAGAGGGGUCCCCCACCUCUAAUAAAGGCCAUUUUGCAUAAAAGCCCCUCAACUUUCACCCUUGUGCACUGCCCUCACUGGGCAGUUUUCGCGCGGAGGGACCGGUCUCCCCGACUUGGGACCGGUCCCCGAAGGCUGCCAUUUCGAGCAGAGGGAUUUUCGCGUUCGGGAACCGGUCCUUGCCUGAGAGACCGGUCCCCGGGAGACCGGUCCUCGUCCGAGAGACCGGUUCCCGAGAGCUGCAUUCUCGGGACUUAGCCAAAUUUGGCUAAAUCUCGUCGGGCCAACGUUCGGGAACCGGUCCCUGCCCACCAGGGACCGGUCUCAUCAGAGACCUCCGCAACCCAGCCUGAUGGAACCGGUCCCUCCCUGCCAGGGACCGGUCCCCGAGAGCAAUUCUGCUCCAGUGCAAGUUUUGCACUUGGUGCUCUCGCGGGCCCUUCUUCAAUGCACUUUACGCAUUAUAAUCGCCUUCGGGCUUUCCGAAGCUUACGCACUCGACAACUAGUCGAUUCUAGUCGAAGUCUAACCCUCGAAUUUCGAGGAUUCACUUCCUUACAGAACAUAUUGCUCUCAUGAGGCAUUAACGACGGUGGACAACAAUGAAAAUCCAUCUUUCCAUUCUGUUGAAAAAUGGUGCAAG
This 3261-nucleotide long non-coding RNA is filed under the name Ananas comosus (pineapple). RNAcentral's name for it is "long non-coding RNA (ACOM_LNC032651)". The record is from RNAcentral. Lineage: Eukaryota; Viridiplantae; Streptophyta; Magnoliopsida; Poales; Bromeliaceae.